AUGCUAGGGUGCGAACCAGCGCUCGUCGCCAUGGCCGCCCGCAGCUGCGCUGCUCUCCAUGGCCGCCGCAGCAAGAUUUUGCUACAAUCAUGUUUGUUUUUGCUGGAACUAGCCCAUGUUUUUGCUGCCAUUCACCCACCCAAAAUCUGCUACCACGGUGAUCUUUGCUGGAACCGGCGAAUCAUUUUGCUACAACCGUUUUGGUUUUUGUUACUACCGGCGCUUUGUGGAUUUUUGCUAUAUCCAUCUCCAUGGCAUGUGACCCCCGUGACUCUGUUUUUUUGCUUCAACCAUUCAUUGUUUUUGCUGGAACCAUCCAACAUUUUUGCUGGAACUAGCGAUUUCCAUGGAUGCGAGUACAGAAGCAUUUUUCUUCAUUGGGAUCAGCAUGUCAUUUUUUAUACAACCGGCGAGUAG
Molecule: ribosomal RNA, 417 nt
Filed under: Triticum aestivum (bread wheat)
Lineage: Eukaryota; Viridiplantae; Streptophyta; Magnoliopsida; Poales; Poaceae
Description: partial small subunit ribosomal RNA
Source: RNAcentral